This 74-nucleotide transfer RNA is filed under the name Brassica napus (rape). It matches the Rfam family "tRNA". Rfam says of the family: Transfer RNA (tRNA) molecules are approximately 80 nucleotides in length. The record is from Rfam by way of RNAcentral. Lineage: Eukaryota; Viridiplantae; Streptophyta; Magnoliopsida; Brassicales; Brassicaceae.
GGCCUAUUAGCUCAGUUGGUUAGAGCGUCGUGCUAAUAACGCGAAGGUCACAGGUUCGUUCCCUGUUUAGGCCA